GGCCUUCGGACUGGCUCGGAGAGGUUGGCAACGACCACUCCGAGCCGGAAAGUUCGUCAAACUCGGUCAUUUAGAGGAAGUAAAAGUCGUAACAAGGUU
Molecule: ribosomal RNA, 99 nt
Filed under: Phoma herbarum
Lineage: Eukaryota; Fungi; Ascomycota; Dothideomycetes; Pleosporales; Didymellaceae
Description: partial 18S small subunit ribosomal RNA
Source: RNAcentral